GACGAACGCUGGCGGCGUGCUUAACACAUGCAAGUCGAACGGAAAGGCCCUGCUUUUGUGGGGUGCUCGAGUGGCGAACGGGUGAGUAACACGUGAGUAACCUGCCCUUGACUUUGGGAUAACUUCAGGAAACUGGGGCUAAUACCGGAUAGGAGCUCCUGCUGCAUGGUGGGGGUUGGAAAGUUUCGGCGGUUGGGGAUGGACUCGCGGCUUAUCAGCUUGUUGGUGGGGUAGUGGCUUACCAAGGCUUUGACGGGUAGCCGGCCUGAGAGGGUGACCGGCCACAUUGGGACUGAGAUACGGCCCAGACUCCUACGGGAGGCAGCAGUGGGGAAUAUUGCACAAUGGGCGGAAGCCUGAUGCAGCAACGCCGCGUGCGGGAUGACGGCCUUCGGGUUGUAAACCGCUUUCGCCUGUGACGAAGCGUGAGUGACGGAAAUGGUAAAGAAGCACCGGCUAACUACGUG
RNAcentral lists this ribosomal RNA (467 nucleotides) under uncultured bacterium. RNAcentral's name for it is "partial 16S ribosomal RNA". It matches the Rfam family "Bacterial small subunit ribosomal RNA", at positions 28 to 507 of the family's 1533-position model. The record is from RNAcentral.